GGGGAAUAUUGCACAAUGGGCGAAAGCCUGAUGCAGCAACGCCGCGUGAGUGACGAAUGUCUCCGGAUUGUAAAGCUCUGUCUUUGGGGACGAUAAUGACGGUACCCAAGGAGGAAGCCACGGCUAACUACGUGCCAGCAGCCGCGGUAAUACGUAGGUGGCAAGCGUUGUCCGGAAUUAUUGGGCGUAAAGGAUGCGUAGGCGGAUGUUUAAGUGAGAUGUGAAAUUCCCGAGCUUAACUUGGGAGCUGCAUUUCAAACUGGAUAUCUAGAGUGCAGGAGAGGAGAAUGGAAUUCCUAGUGUAGCGGUGAAAUGCGUAGAGAUUAGGAAGAACACCAGUGGCGAAGGCGAUUCUCUGGACUGUAACUGACGCUGAGGCAUGAAAGCGUGGGUAGCAAAC
Molecule: ribosomal RNA, 400 nt
Filed under: uncultured bacterium
Lineage: Bacteria
Description: bacterial SSU rRNA
Rfam family: Bacterial small subunit ribosomal RNA
Source: RNAcentral